Long non-coding RNA from Myxocyprinus asiaticus (Chinese sucker), 718 nucleotides. RefSeq lists it as uncharacterized. The transcript is spliced from 2 exons. The record is from RefSeq and is a predicted model, not a curated record. NCBI's taxonomy places the organism in Eukaryota, Metazoa, Chordata, Actinopteri, Cypriniformes, Catostomidae.
GCUCCCCUACUUAUUCAAUUCUUCUCCCCCUCUCCAAAUACAUCAUAAUCAUUAUUCUGUUCAAAGCAAAUUAAGUUAGUGUGUCUCAUGUCACUUUGACGUUAAGAGUUUUCGGUGUGGACCUUGGUUUGAUUGAACAUAAAGUUUUGUUCAUUCGAUUGGGGUGAAAUCCAUUUUCUGAAUUUGGUUGCACACCAAGUCCAUUGAAAAAGUGGGUGUGAAAGAAUCAAAUAAAAUAAAAUCCCUUUAUUGUCACUCAACCAUAUACACAAGUGCAACAGAGGGUGAAAGUUUUGGGUGUGGUUCCAAGCAACAUAGCAGUAUGACAAUUACAAUAAACAUCUGAUUUACACUUAAAGUUUACACAUCUUGUUACAAAGAAGAAACAAGAUGUGAAGAAGUAUAGGUAUCUGCGGAACAAUAAUGGGCGUUUUCCAAUCUGUGGACGUUUUCAAACUGGGAUGGCCGUUUUUUAACCAUCCAAUGAAAGUAAGGAAUCUCAAUGUAGUAAUCAGUAGGUGUUUCCAAACCAGGAUGUGCGUUCCUCAACUAUCCAAUAAAAGUAUGGAAUUUCAAUGUAGUAAUCAGUAGGUGUUUCCAAACCAGGAUGGGCAUUCCUCAACUAUCCAAUGAAAUUAGGGAAUCUCAAUGUACUAAUCAGUAGGUAUUUCCAAACCAGGAUGGGCAUUCCUCAACUAUCCAGUGAAAUUAGGGAAUC